AUGCACGCUAGCGGGAGGCCUAACACAUGCCAGCCGAGCGGUAUUUGUUCUUCGGAACAGAGAGAGCGGCGCACGGGUGCGGAACACGUGUGCAACCUGCCUUUAUCUGGGGGAUAGCCUUUCGAAAGGAAGAUUAAUACCCCAUAAUAUAUUGAGUGGCAUCACUUGAUAUUGAAAACUCCGGUGGAUAGAGAUGGGCACGCGCAAGAUUAGAUAGUUGGUGAGGUAACGGCUCACCAAGUCAAUGAUCUUUAGGGGGCCUGAGAGGGUGAUCCCCCACACUGGUACUGAGACACGGACCAGACUCCUACGGGCGGCAGCAGUGAGGAAUAUUGGACAAUGGGUUAGCGCCUGAUCCAGCCAUCCCGAGUGAAGGACGACGGCCCUAUGGGUUGUAAACUUCUUGUGUAUAGGGAUAAACCUACUCUCGUGAGAGUAGCUGAAGGUACUAUACGAAUAAGCACCGGCUAACUCCGUG
This 478-nucleotide ribosomal RNA is filed under the name uncultured bacterium. Its description in RNAcentral is "partial 16S ribosomal RNA". It matches the Rfam family "Bacterial small subunit ribosomal RNA", at positions 29 to 507 of the family's 1533-position model. The record is from RNAcentral.